GCGGAUAUGGCUCAGUGGUAGAGCGCCCGGCAUCUGGCCGGGAGGUCGCGGGUUCGAUUCCCGUUAUCUGCUCCA
Molecule: transfer RNA, 75 nt
Filed under: Nitratireductor mangrovi
Lineage: Bacteria; Pseudomonadati; Pseudomonadota; Alphaproteobacteria; Hyphomicrobiales; Phyllobacteriaceae
Description: Nitratireductor sp. SY7 tRNA-Arg
Rfam family: tRNA
About the family: Transfer RNA (tRNA) molecules are approximately 80 nucleotides in length.
Source: RNAcentral